UAGGGAAUCUUCGGCAAUGGACGAAAGUCUGACCGAGCAACGCCGCGUGAGUGAAGAAGGUUUUCGGAUCGUAAAACUCUGUUGUUAGAGAAGAACAAGGACGUUAGUAACUGAACGUCCCCUGACGGUAUCUAACCAGAAAGCCACGGCUAACUACGUGCCAGCAGCCGCGGUAAUACGUAGGUGGCAAGCGUUGUCCGGAUUUAUUGGGCGUAAAGCGAGCGCAGGCGGUUUCUUAAGUCUGAUGUGAAAGCCCCCGGCUCAACCGGGGAGGGUCAUCGGAAACUGGGAGACUUGAGUGCAGACGAGGAGAGUGGAAUUCCAUGUGUAGCGGUGAAAUGCGUAGAUAUAUGGAGGAACACCAGUGGCGAAGGCGGCUCUCUGGUCUGUAACUGACGCUGAGGCUCGAAAGCGUGGGGAGCAAACAGG
Molecule: ribosomal RNA, 429 nt
Filed under: Gemmatimonadota bacterium
Lineage: Bacteria; Pseudomonadati; Gemmatimonadota
Description: Gemmatimonadetes bacterium partial 16S ribosomal RNA
Rfam family: Bacterial small subunit ribosomal RNA
Source: RNAcentral